GUCCAGAUAGUGUAGUGGACAGCGCAUCUGCCUAGCAAGCAGGAGACCUGGGUUCGAAUCCCAGACUGGCACA
Molecule: non-coding RNA, 73 nt
Organism: Schistocerca gregaria
Lineage: Eukaryota; Metazoa; Arthropoda; Insecta; Orthoptera; Acrididae
Source: the annotation of a RefSeq genome assembly